UUUCUAUUCUUUUAAAACAGAUCCCUUUUCAACGCUCCGAAAACCCAGAGAGACAGGAAAGGGGAAAAAAAGAAAAGGAGAAACCUAACCCCCUUUCAACUGUUUUUCAGUCUCUGCAGCGCCUAACUUUCUUUCUAUGAUCAUCUCCUCUCCAAUCUAAUGGCAUCCUUCAGUGAUGGCGUCUCCUGCUAUAAUUGUUCAAUAUUGGCCUUCGUGGUUUUAGGGAUUUUUGUCCAAGCGCAUAGAGGAGCACAUGUCCAAGGUUAUCAGAAUGACUUGUAACAUCUUGGUUUGAUAUUCGGUGAAGUUAUGUUGGUGACCGAUAAUUCUGUGGAAGAGCAUUCACAAAAUAUGUUCAUGUUGAAGUCUUUUGGAGGGGUUUCAAAGCUUUUUCGUCCUGGAGUGUUUCGUGGGAUAUUGGAGGAACUUUUCGGCAGCUCUGGGGGACACCUUACUGCUGAUUCUAUUUUGUCAUGUUUCGGUGGACUUAAGAAGUUAGCAGUAGCAGGUGAAAGUACUUGAUGGAAAGCUUUAUAGGUUUUAUAGAUAUUGAAUCUCAAUAGAGUAAAUAGUUCACAUUGCACAAUAAUUCUGGAAACUUGUUUCUUUUGAAGUUCUAGAGUAUAUAGUUGAUAUUGCAAUAUAUAAGUAUGGAAACUUUUUUCUCUUGAAUUUCUAGAGUAUAUAGUUGUUGAUGUUACAGUAUGUAAGUCUGAAAACUUGUUUCUCUUGAUGUUAUAUAUGGUAUAUAGUUGCCAUUGGUAAGUCUGGAAAGUUGUUUCUUUGAAGAUCAAUAGAUUGUGGUAUAAAAAACUUGUUUCUCUU
Malus domestica (apple) is the source of this 825-nucleotide long non-coding RNA. RefSeq lists it as uncharacterized. Lineage: Eukaryota; Viridiplantae; Streptophyta; Magnoliopsida; Rosales; Rosaceae. The record is from RefSeq and is a predicted model, not a curated record.